UACGUAGGGUCCGAGCGUUGUUCGGAUUUACUGGGCGUAAAGCGCACGUAGGCGGCUCGUUAAGUCGGGGGUGAAAUCCUGGAGCUCAACUCCAGAACUGCCUUCGAUACUGGCGAUCUUGAGUCCGGAAGAGGUGAGUGGAACUCCUAGUGUAGAGGUGGAAUUCGUAGAUAUUAGGAAGAACACCAGUGGCGAAGGCGGCUCACUGGUCCGGUACUGACGCUGAGGUGCGAAAGCGUGGGGAGCAAACAGG
Molecule: ribosomal RNA, 253 nt
Filed under: uncultured bacterium
Lineage: Bacteria
Description: partial 16S ribosomal RNA
Rfam family: Bacterial small subunit ribosomal RNA
Source: RNAcentral